This 12823-nucleotide long non-coding RNA is filed under the name Citrus sinensis (sweet orange). RNAcentral describes it as "long non-coding RNA (CSIN_LNC001109)". Lineage: Eukaryota; Viridiplantae; Streptophyta; Magnoliopsida; Sapindales; Rutaceae. The record is from RNAcentral.
UUGCUUCUCCCUUUCCCUUCCCAUGCAAGUGACCCUGAUCCUUUACAAGACGUCUGUAUUGCGGACUUGAAUGCCCCCAUCUCUAUCAAUGGUUUCCCCUGCAAACCUGCUUCAGAAGUAACUUCUGAUGAUUUCUUCACUGAUUUUUCCAAAAAUCCGACCACAUUUGAUGUCUUUAAGCGUGCAGUUACACUUGGUGAUGUUUCUGGCUUUCCAGCGGUCAAUACUCAAGGAGUUUCACUCUUCCGAAUUGACCUGGAUGUAGGUGGAAUAAACCCACCUCAUACACAUCCUCGUGGAACUGAGGCUGGCAUUGUUACUCGAGGAAAUCGAGGAAAGGUGCUUGUUGGAUUAGUAACAACUAAUAAUACCUUUUUUCUCAAAGGUUUUGACUCCCGGGAUGGUGUUCUUAAUUCCCAGAGCACUGAUUCACUUCCAGCUAAAUGUUGGAAAGGGGCCGGCCACCUUUAUACCUAUUUUCAAUACUCAAAAUCCUGGCGUUUCGGACUCACUCACUACUCUUUUUGAUACAACACCCCCAAUUCCCAAGUCCAGCUAGGUUAACACCCUGGAUGCUUGAUCAAUAUGCUUUGGUGUGCCAACAUAUAUAUACUAAUAAAUGCGAUUUAUUUUAUGUUACAAUUAUUGAAUAAAGAAUAAAGUCGAGACGACCAAUAAUUAUUGAAUAAGGAAAGUGUGAUUUUUUUUACCUCAUUUCUUCUUCUUUAACUUUUGAUUUUUCCAUGGCAUUAUCUACGCAAUUUGUUGCUUCCAUCGGCCUCGUUCAUUGGUAUUUCCUUGUAGGCUUCAAACAAUCUUUUAUAAUCGGAAAUUCCAUUCGUGUAAUUUCAGCCUCUCAAUAUCCAUUAAUGGUACCCGUGCAAUAAUUAUUGAAUAAAAAAUGUCUAAUACUUUUUAACUUUUUUAUCUUAUUAUUUUUUUCAUGGAUCAUUCUAUUUGAUACCGGGAUAAAAUAAUUCGAUAAAUAUGUCAAAGAAUAAAAUUACCGGUUGAAUAGAAAACAUACUGAAGUCAAACCCGUUCAUUGCUUUAUUAUUUUUUUGUUCUCCCUAUUCAACCGAACCAAUUGAAAUUGAUAGUGACGAUUACGUGGAAUAUUUGGGGGGCCCGAAAUAAGCUAUUAUUCGGAAGGCAAGUUAGUUCACCACAAGCCAUCUAUGCACGGGCUCAAAGAAUUUUCGAAUCUUUUUGGGGUUGUGGUGUGGCUAUUCUUGAUUCUAAUUUGACCCAUCCCCACAGCAAGCUCCACCUGCCCGCCAACCAUCUCCUCCACCUUCCCAUCCAACCACCGAACCAGACAUCCCAGUUCCACCUCCCUCUCAACACAGCAUGACUACCCGAGCCACGAAUAACAUCACCAAACCGAUUCAAAAACUCAACCUUCACACCCACAAACCAAAUUCCCAAAAUGCUGCUCCUACAUCUAUAUCACAAGCUCUCAAAGACCAUAACUGGCGUCAAGCUAUGUCCGAAGAGUAUUGAUGCACUUGUUCGUAAUGGAACCUGGGAACUAGUUCCCCCUGAUGGCAUCUCUAAUCUGGUUGGUUGCAAAUGGAUUUUCCGAAUUAAAAGACACUCUGAUGGUUCUAUUGACAGGUUCAAAGCUCGCCUUGUAGCUAAGGAAUUUCAUCAACUGUUAAAGCAGCUCACUAUUCAAGCAGCUUGGUAAAGCCACAUCAGCAGAAGGUUGUUAGUGAUGAAUAGCAGCUCAGCGUGAUUAGUUAAGUGUUAGUAAUCCAACUCAUAAAAGUUAGUUAAUUAGUUAGUGAGUUACUUGUAAUUCUCACGUGUAAGGGAUGAUAUAAAGUCUUGUACUGAUCUGUAAAACAUUUUAAGAAUUGAAUCUUAUUGAAUACAAGUAUUGAGAAUUUUCUCUGAGAUUUUCUAUUCAACCAAACAGCAUAUCUCUGUUUUCUUUCAUGGUAUCAGAGCCACAAAUGGCCAGCUCAAGCAAUACAAUCUCAAAUCAAACAAUCAUAAACUUAAAUCAACAUACACAAACAUCAUUUACUUUUGCUGCAACUGUAAAACUUGAUCGAUCAAAUUUCUUACUUUGGCACAAACAAGUAGUAACUUCAAUCAGAGGAAAUCGCCUUGAAAUAUUCAUUCUAGAGCCGCAAGUUAUUCCAGAACAGUAUCUAGUUGAUUCAACGAUCGAAAGAUCUGGUGAGAGCAUUGAAAAUCAAGCCUACAGCAACUAGAGAGCACAAGAUCAAAUACUCCUUGGCUGGCUGCUCUCAACUAUAAGUGAAGGUAUUCUUAGUUCUGUUCUUAGCUAUGAUACUUCAUUUUAUGUGUGGAGAUCCAUUGAAAAACAGUUUGGAGUUCAAUCUGAGGCUAAGAUUAUGCAACUCCGAUAUGAAAUGAACAUCUUAAGAAAAGAUUCAAUGAAUGUUGAGGAAUAUUGUGCUAAAAUGAAAUUACUCGCCAACAAACUUGCUUGUGCUGGUGAUGUAAUUACUGAAAAGGAUCUGUUAAUGAGAGUUUUGAAUGGUUUAGGUUCAGGAUAUCUAGAUCUAGCUUCCAUAAUCACUGCAAAUAAUAUGAGCUAUGAUGAUGCUUAUGCAUUGUUACUGACUCAUGAAGCUAGACUUGAACAAAAUCAAAGUGCCAAAACUGUGUUUAAUGCAAACUAUAGCACAAUGAAUGUGAAUCAUCCCUAUAUGAGAGGAAAUUUUAGAAGAAGUGUUGUUGGAAAUGGAAAUUAUGGUCGUUCUGUGAAUAGAGGAUUUAAUGUUGGAAGAGGCAUGUUUCACAAUCCAUAUCCCAGAGGUUUUUCACCUGGUGUUGGUAAUGUUGGGGGUUAUGGCAGAGGCCAGAUGAUGCAACCUUUUAGGCCACCUAUGAAGACAAACUUUCAUCCUUCAGCCAACAUGCAUGCUGAUGAAUUACCAACCAUAUGUUAGAUAUGCCACAAAACAGGACAUGCAGCAGAUGAAUGCUGGCAUAGAUAUGAUGAUAAUCCUCAACCAUCACCUAGGCAUUUUGGAAGGGGCAGAUCUUUUGGAUCUAAGGCUGCAUACACAGCUAACUUUGAUCCAUUUAUCAAUUAUGCUACUCCUUCAACUGAAGAACAAUAUACUGCACCCUACUCAGGCUACAAUCCUUUAUCCUACUCCUCUUAUCCAUCAACAGACACAGUCAUUCCUGAAGCCUACCUUACCAACUAUGAAUGGCCUGCUGAUGAAGGGUGGUACCUUGACAGUGGUGCCACACAUCACUUGACCAACAGUAUGGCUAAUAUGAAUGUUAGAGAGGAAUUCAGAGGAUCUGAUCAACUUGUCAUCGGCAAUGGCCAAGGUUUGCAUAUAACUCAUAUUGGUAAUGCAUGUUUUACUUAUAAAUGAUCAAAUGCUGCAUAUAAACCAACACAUAUCCUACUUAAAGACAUGUUAUUAGUAUCUGAUAUCAUAAAGAACUUGCUCAGCAUAUCAAAAUUAACUACUGACAAUAAUCUAUGUAUUGAAUUUAUUGGUAAUGUUUGUUAUGUGAAGGAUUCUCUGAAGAGGCAAGUGCUUCUGACAGGAAUUGCUGAGAAAGGAUUGUAGAAGCUGCUUCUAAGACCAUCUGAGUCUUUUCCUUAUUCUUACUUGUGCCAAUCUCCCUCUACUCAAUCUUUGUCAAUGUUGUCUGCCUGUUCUUUUGAUUUAAGUGUUCUUAAAAACACUCAGAAUAAUGAUUCCAGUUGUGUCCCAGUUUGUAAUGCAUCAAUCAAUAAAUUUUCCAGUUACAUUUCAUCUUGUGAUGCAUUGAAUAAUAAAAUUCUUCUUCUUCACAGACGUUUUGGCCAUCCUAACUCUCAAACUCUAAUGCAUUUGCUAAAAGGAAUUACUUCAGUUAAUCUCUCAAGAAAUAACAUAAAACAAACACUUGAGAAAAUCUGUGAAGCAUGUCAAAUGGGCAAAUCCCAUAGGUUGCAUUUUUCCAGCACAGAAACCAAAACAACAAAACCUCUUGAGCUUAUACAUACAGACCUAUGGGGACCCUCACCUACACCUUCUAGAGACAGCUAUGUCUAUUACAUAAGCUUUGUUGAUGAUUUUAGCCGAUACACUUGGAUUUACCCUCUUAAGUUGAAAUCUGAGGCAUUAGAUGUAUUCAAACUAUUCAAAUUGCAGGUUGAAAACCAAUUUGACACCACCAUUAAGAACCUGCAAUCUGACUGGGGGGGAGAAUACAGGUCAUUUACUCAAUUCUUAAACCAAUGUGGAAUCAUUUUCAGACAUUCUUGUCCUUAUACACAUCACCAAAAUGGGGUGGUAGAAAGAAAACAUAGACACAUUAUUGAGCUAGGACUAACUCUAUUAGCACAAGCCAAGCUACCAUUUAAAUUUUGGUGGGAUGCCUUUCUUACAGCUGUUUACCAUAUAAAUAGAUUACCCUCAACAGCUCUGAAACUCCUUACUCCAUAUGAGACAAUUUUCAAACUUAAACCUGAUUACAGCAUGCUCAAGUGUUUUGGUUGCACAUGUUAUCCUUACCUAAGGGAUUAUAGCAAACACAAAUUUGAUUAUCACUCAAGCAAAUGCAUUUUCCUUGGCUACAGUCCAGUCCACAAAGGUUACAAAUGCUUGCAUUCAUCAGGCAAAAUGUACAUAGCCAGACAUGUUGUUUUUUAUGAGUCAACAUUUCCUUAUUCUACAGACUCAGUUUUUCAUUCUAAUGAAUCAUCAUCUUAUUCGAGUCAAUCCCUUACACCCCAACAAGUAUAUCAUCUGACCACAUUAUCUACAACACCAGUGUCCAAUGUAAACAACUCAUGCAAUCCUCUAUAUGCAAUUUCUACCAGCAGCAGUUCACAACAUUCAGAUAAUCCAUCUCAUACUGACAAUCUGUAAAGAAGGAAAACAAUAUUUGCCUUUUUAAUAAUUUUAUUGAAUCAGGAGACGUAGCUUUAUACAAGAGAUUUCCUACAACCAUGCUAAUCUAUUCUAGGUAGUCUAAAUAUAAAAGGCAACUGAACAAAUAUACAACUAAUACAAUAUAUUUGUCAAUGAAUGGUCAGAUAUCAUUGACCUUUCCUUCUCAACACAAUCAGCAUUCCUAUUCACAAACACAUAUCCCAUUCAUUGAACCAUCUAUAGAGCCUCAAAUUUCACCACCUCAACCUACACCUGACAUAUCCUUACCAGCUCAACCUGCACCUGACAUAUCCUUUCCAGUUCAACCUAAUACACAUUCAAUGACUACCAGAAGCAAAGCUGGUAUCUUCAAACCAAAGCUUUAUACAGCAACCCUUGUUCACCAAGAACUUGAAUCUGUAUAUGAAGCUAUGCAAAACCCAAAAUGGUUUACAGCCAUGAAAGAAGAAUAUGUAGCUUUGAUGCAGAAUGGUACGUGGUCCUUAAUGCCAAAAACAAAUGAUCAGAGAGUUGUUGGAAAUAAAUGGGUGUAUAGGGUUAAAUACAACACUGAUGGAAGUGUAGCUAAAUACAAAGCUAGGUUAGUUGCAAAGGGGUUUCAACAGAUUAUAGGAGUGAAUUGUUUUGAAACUUUCAGUUAUGUCAUAAAACCAGCAACUGUAAGAGUAGUCUUGAGUCUAACUGUGAUGCAUCAGUGGAAGAUAAGGCAAGUUGAUGUGAAUAAUGUCUUUCUCAAUGGAGACUUAACAGAGGAAGUGUUCAUGGAUCAACCAGAGGGAUUUAUCAGCACUGAGAAACCAGAUUUUGUAUGCAAGCUUCACAAGUCUCUUUAUGGACUUAAACAAGCUCCAAGAGCUUGGUAUGAUAAGUUGAAAGGCUGUUUGUUGCAGUGGGGAUUUACAAAUUCCAGCUCAGAUACCUCCUUAUUCUUGAAAAUGAAUAAGUCAUCUGUGAUCCUAGUUCUCAUAUAUGUUGAUGACAUCUUAAUAACAGGACCAAAUAGCUUGGAGCUGGAAAAUUUCAUUACAGAAUUCAGUACAAAGUUUGCUUUAAAGGAUCUUGGAGCUCUUUCUUAUUUCUUAGGCAUUGAAGUACUGUAUGAUACAGAUUGUAUUUUCUUAUCUCAAAAGAAAUACAUAAGGGAUUUGCUGUCAAGAGUUGAGAUGAUCAAUUGCAAAGAUGUUGAUACUCCUAUGAGUACAGGAAUGAAGCUACAGAAGGAAGCUCAAGGUAAUCUUGGUCGUUAUGUUGAAGAUGUAACACAUUAUAGAAGCAUUGUUGGUGGGAUGCAAUAUUUGGUAUUAAUAAGACUAGAAAUUGCUUUUAGUGUUCACAAGCUGAGCCAAUACGUUUCUGCACCAACACUGCAGCACCUUAUGGCUUGCAAAAGGGUGCUCAGAUAUCUACAGGCAACACAGGACUAUGGACUCAAAUUUAUCAAGGAUGGUGAUCUGAAACUAACAGGCUUCACAGAUGCAGACUGGGCAGGGGAUCUGGAUGACAGAAAAUCGGUUGCAGCCUAUUGCAUUUAUCUUGGUCAUAAUCUAAUAUCUUGGUCAUCUAAGAAGCAGCCUGUCAUUGCUAGGUCUAGUGCAGAGAGUGAGUAUAGGUCCCUAGCCACGGCAAGUGCAGAGAUAAGCUGGCUGCAAUCACUGUUCUCUGAGUUGAGAUUACAAUGCAUAGAAAAACCUAUUAUUUGGUGUGACAAUCUUAGUGCAACAGAGUUAGCUCACAAUCCAGUUUUCCACUCAAGAACAAAGCAUAUUGAGAUUGAUAUUCAUUAUGUUAGAAACAAAGUUCUUGCUGGAGAACUAAAUAUUCAAUACAUACCAAGUGAGGAGCAGGUAGCUGACAUUAUGACCAAGCCACUCUCAUUCAUUCGUUUUAACUAUCUUAGGGCCAAACUCAAUGUCAUGUCUUGUCCUUUGAGUUUGAGGGGGGCUGUUAAAGCAGUUCACUAUUCAAGCAGCUUGGUAAAGCCACGUCAGCAGAAGGUUGUUAGUGAUGAAUAGCAGCUUAGCGUGAUUAGUUAAGUGUUAGUAAUCCAGCUCAUAAAAGUUAGUUAGUUAGUUAGUUAGUUACUUGUAAUUCUCACGUGUAAGGGAUGAUAUAAAGUCUUGUACUGAUUUGUAAAACAUUUUAAGAAUUGAAUCUCAUUGAAUACAAGUAUUGAGAAUUUUCUCUGAGAUUUUCUAUUCAACCAAACAACAUAUCUCUGUUUUCUUUCACCGGGUGUGGACUAUCAUGAAACUUUUAGUCCAAUUGUCAAGCCUACCACAGUGAGACUUUGCUUAGUAUAGCAAUAAGUAAUGGCUGGUCUCUCCGUCAAUUGGAUGUCAAUAAUGCCUUUCUUCAAGGCAGACUCUCUGAAAAUGUCUUUAUGGCUCAACCACCAGGUUUUGUGGACCCUGAUCAUCCCUCAUAUGUCUGUAAACUUCAUAAAGCCAUCUAUGGUCUCAAACAAGCUCCCCGGGCUUGGUAUCAUGAAUUGCGUCAGUUUCUACUAGCUUCUGGUUUAAAAAAUUCACACUCAGAUACCUCUCUUUUUGUUCUUCGUAGCAAUCAUGUUCUGUAUCUUCUUGUGUAUGUUGAUGAUAUUGUCGUAACUGGCAGCAAUGAUGCUCUUGUUUCACAGUUUGUUGAAUGUCUUUCUCAAUGUUUCUCUCUUAAAGAUCUUGGUUCACUCUCUUAUUUUCUUGGAGUUGAAGUUGUUCCUCACCAUCUUGGCAUUCAGCUCUCCCAAAGAAGAUACAUUCAGGACUUACCCCAACGAACCAAUAUGGAUAAUGCAAAACUUGUUCUCACUCCCCUACCAACCAGCUCAGCAGCCAUCUCCUUAACCUCAGGCACACCUCUCUCAGACCCCACACCAUAUCGUGCAGCAGUUGGUAGCCUGCAGUAUCUUUCCUUAACACGCCCAGACAUCUCUUUUGCAGUCAAUAGAAUGGCCCAAUUUAUGCAUCAACCUACUACAGAGCAUUGGGUUCUUGUUAAGCGUAUAUUGCGUUAUUUGAGUGGCACACUAGACAAGGGGCUUCUUCUCUAUCGUGAUUCUCCCCUCACUCUUCAUGGCUUCUCUAAUUCACUUCAUGCCUUUUCAGAUGCGGAUUGGGCUGGUAAUAAAGACGAUUACUCUUCCACCAGCGCUUAUCUUGUUUACCUUGGGCGGAACCUUGUCUCUUGGAGUUUGAAGAAGCAACAAACUGUUGCUCGUUCAUCCACCGAAUCAGAGUAUCGUUCUAUUGCUGCCACUGCUGCUGAACUUCGCUGGGUUUGCUCUCUUCUUUCAAAGCUUGGUAUUGGCUUAACAAAUUCUCUAGUGGUCUAUUGUGAUAAUGUUGGUGCUACCCAGUUAAGUUCCAAUCCUAUUUUUCACUCUCGCAUGAAACAUGUUGCUGUUGAUUAUCAUUUUAUCAGAGAUCAAGUUCAAUCUGGUCUACUUCGAGUAGCUCAUGUCUCCUCUGCUGAUCAGCUUGCCGAUCUUCUCACCAAGCCACUUCCCACUUCUCAGUUCUUGCUUUUACGAGACAAGAUUGGCCUCUGUACUCGUGGCCUAUCUUGAGGGGGCAUAUAAAAGCAUUCACAACUGCUGGUGUAUAACAGCCUCCGCAAACUGCUGGUGUAUAACAGCCUCUACAAUUCAAAUUGGUUUUUUAUUUUUUGAAUGUAAUCCCGAGGAUAUUUCUGUUAAUAUAUCUUAAGAAUAGGUCAGCUUGAUUAUUGUUGAAAUAUAGGAGGAAGUUAGUGCUUUAUGUUUUGAUUCAUUGUAUUAUUUAUACGUGUUGAUCCUAAUGGAAAAGAUGAGUUUAUUCAAUUAUCAAUCUCUUUAGUUUUGUUUGAUGAGGUUGAUAUCACUGAGGCCGAAUCCUUGCGCUUUGGUUUACGGUUCGCUAGUGCAGCUGGUUUAUUUUGUUAACAGUUACAGUCAAAUUUGCUUCAAGUUAUAGAACUAUUUUAGAUCUUUUCUGACGUGUUUUGAGUUAUUUCUGAGCUGAAGCAAUUGCAAUUACCAAAGCAUUCUUUUUGGGUACGCCAUAUCCCAAGGGUUUGCAAAUGCAUUAGCUAAAUAUUCUAUGUAUUUUUUUAUUCUUAUAUUUGGUGGGAAGAUUUUCCACCACAUUUAAAUUGCUAACUUUGAGUGUAUUAUGAUUCUGAUUCUAAUGAAGUUUUUAUCUCACCACCCCCUCCCCCCCAAAAAAAAUGAAAUAAUAAAAAUAACGAAUAACCUAUUUAGGUCCCGUUUGGUACAACUUUUCAAGUAGAACUUAUUUAAAUAGAGCUUGUAUAAAAAAAAAAAAAAGUUGUUUAAUUGUCAAUAAAAACUUUUAUUAAAAAUUUAUAAAAUUACUUUAAUAGACAAGUUUUUUAAAGUUAUGUUAUGAAAAAAAUAAAAUAAGAUUGUCAAAUAAGUAGAGGAUAUUUUAGAUAUUUUCUCAUUAAAACCCAAAAUUUGAGCUUUUGUUAAUAGAGGUAAAAUAACUUAUUUAAACUUCAAAAGUUCUAUUAGAAAAACAACCAAACAACAACAAAAAUUAUUAUAAGAGCUUAUGUGAUUAAAUAAGCACUUAUGGUCAUUGAAGAAGUCAUACCAAACAAUCACAUAGUACUUAUAUAUUAUUGAUUGUAAUUUAAAAAACAAAUAGUUUCUAAAAUUAGAUUUUAAUUUUUAUAUUCUAUUUUUGCAUUUAUAACGUACUUUUUUUCCCGGUAUGUAUGUGAUAAAAAUACUCUGAAGUUAUUACGAUACAUUCCUCAUUCUUGAAAACGUACUAGUUCGCUAAAGCUUACAAAGGAAAGAAAUUGGUAUCAACCCUUUUAGGAACCUUAAACUUUUUAUAAACUGAUUAUCCUUUACCUCUAAUUUGAGUUGAAAAACAAAUUAAAUCGUUUUUCUAUAUUGAUUUUGGUUUUGCAGUUGCACUUUAUUUUAUCCGUAGAACAUGGAUGAAGGAAUCAUAUCAUGAACUCCAAAUUUACGCAACAAUUGAUGCUCUUGUAACCCAUUCCCAAUUUAUUUGAUGCUCUUUUAACUCAAUUUAUUUGCUAAAAAAAUUAUUAUUUUUAUCAAAAUUAUUUUUUAAAAGUUACAAUUAGUAAACAUUAUUAACUUUUGUAUUUUAGCUAGAUCUUUUUGACUUUCCAACAAUACUAAACAAAGCCUUGCACAGGCAUACAUUGUAGUUGAAACAUCACAAAAUCUUAUUCCAUAAUUUUUACUAAAAUAGUGUUUUGGUAAUUUUUAAAAAAAAAUCAUUCAUUUCAUAAUUUUCUCUAUUUUGACAACAACAUUAUAGAUUUUUUAAAAAAUAGUUAUAAAAUAAUUUCCUAUAUAAAUUAAGAAUUAUUUUUUUAAACUUUAUGUAAUAAUCUUAUUAUUUCAAUAAAAAGGUAGUCAUCUCCUAUUUUUUCCUUCAGCUUUUUUUUUUUCAUUUUAUGUAAAUUUGAGUGUUCCAAAAAUGAAACAAAAAUGUGUUUAGACAACUCAAGCUUAUGUAUAUAUUUUGGUAGUUACACAAUGAAACUCACAGUACUCUUAGUAAUAAAGUUUACUAACACCUAAUUACUUUUUUGUGUAGUUGAUUAUUUUAUAAGCACGCGAAAUCUCUGUCCCUUAGCGUCUCUCCUAGAUAGUUGUCUGGAUGAGUUUUGAUGACUACAUUUUGUUCUUCUACUUUGAUAAAAACGACUCCGUCUUCUUCUCGUCCAACUUAAUUAAUCUAACAAAUUACUAAGAGGAUGCAACUUUGAUAGUACUGAAUUUCAAUACCAAACAUAUAUUCUCUCUUCAACACAAUCAUUAAGGCAUUUCAAACGCUUGGCAAGCAAGGCUAGCUUGUGCUACCAAAGAUACAUUUUGGAAUAGCUUCAAGAUAUUAAUAUUUUGUUAAAUGAAAUUUGGUGUUAUGUUGAUGAUUUUGAAUAGGAGGAACUCGCGCCAAUUUGUAAUUUAUUCACGAAAUGUUGCUUGCACGUCUCAAUAAAUCCAUUUUUUUUUUUAAAUAUCAAUUGAUUUAUAGUUGGAUUAAAUCACAUACGCAAGCGUUAGAUUAACUUUGUUAAUGACUCUGGAAUGUAUUAAGAAAUCUAAAAUUGUUUGAUGAUAUACGUGUAUUAAGGAAAGAGUCAAGUUUGGCGGUUGAAUAGCUCGGGAUCAACGGCCAUGUCAAAGUUAAUUAAUAAACCCAAGCAUUUCUGCUGAUCACAAUUAAUGGAAGGGAUCGAUUGGCUAUCACACUACUCCGCAGUUGACAUUGAACUUUGUCAUUGAAGUAUGUCUUCUUCAAACAUUCCCGCAGAAGGUUGUGUGUCAAUAUUUGACCACUAUGAAAUUACCGCGUAUUCAUCGACUACACAUCUCAUUAUUGAAUGUUGCAACUUAUGAUGUAGGAUGGUUGCAUAGGAUGAGUAGAGUAUUUUCCGGAGGUCAUAAUUUAGUUUCAUGUGUCCAUUUUGGGGGUCAUAAUUUAGAUAUUCUACUUCUUUCAUGGUUGUUUUAUUGUUUGAAGUUAUUUUCUUAUUUUUCUGCUACUUCCAAAGUUUUUAUUUUUAUUUUUUUUAGAUGUCGGAUUUAGGUGUCAUUUGUUUUGUUGUCCUUAUUUAGAUUAUAAGAAUUUUAUUAUAAAAUAAUAUUUUAGAUUUACCUAUUUUAGUAAAUUCACGAUAUUUAGAGUUAUUAUCAAAGGGCCCCAAAACCCCUAAUUUUGUCCAUUCAAACUUUUGCAAUAAAAAUUGCAUUAUUUAGAAACAUAGUUUCUUUUUCAAUCCAACUUUUAUGCAUCAUCAACUUAAGUUUUAAAUUGCUUUUGAUUCAUUAGGAAGGAAAUCAACUUUCUAUGAUUAAUCUAUUAAAUGAAUUUUGUGUUUAACAUAUACACUCUUAAACAAUAAAGUGAACACUUUUCGAUUCCUGAUUAUAUUGACAAAAUAUAUCAUUCUAAUUCCAAAAUUAUAUAUAUAUAAUUUUCCAUUGAUUAAAGUGCAAAAACUCUCAUCAGAUAAAACACUAUAAGCUAUCCCUUUGUCACUAAGCCAAAACAACAAGACAUUAUUCUGGUUCAUUAUCAUUCACGGUUGCAAUGCCCAGGUGAUAUCAUGUACCAAUUUAAAAAUAUUCGACACGCUUUAUAUCCAUAAGUCAAUAAGCCUUAUCGAUGGCCAAUUCUUCGGCAUUAAUAUUUUACUAAAGUCAAAAAGUCAAUAAGCCUCAUCUGCUUAAUCUUUGGUUAAUCACGCUUUGAGAUUCCAAGGAGUAGUAUAAAUAGAUCCAACACCUUCCAUCCAAUCCACCAACACAAAAAGACCUGCAGACAUUAAUUGUGUAAUUUAGAUCUUAACAGCAGCCAGCCAUGUAUUCUUCUUCAUCAGUGUCACUCUUUGGGCUGCUAUGCGGCUUGGUAGUGUUACUGAUUCUCCCUUUCCCUUCCCGUGCAAGUGACCCUGAUCCUUUACAAGACGUCUGUAUUGCGGAUUUGAAUGCCCCCAUCUCUAUCAAUGGUUUCCCCUGCAAACCUGAUUCAGAAGUAACUUCUGAUGAUUUCUUCACGGAUUUUUCCAAAAAUCCGACCACUUUUGAUGUCUUUAAGCGUGCAGUUACGCUUGGUGAUGUUUCUCGCUUUCCAGCGGUCAAUACUCAAGGAGUUUCACUCUUCCGAAUUGACCUGGAAGUCGGUGGAAUAAACCCGCCUCAUACACAUCCUCGUGGAACUGAGGCCGGCAUUGUUACUCGAGGAAAGGUGCUCGUAGGUUUAGUAACAGCUAAUAAUACCUUUUUCUCAAAGGUUUUGACUAGCGCUGAUUCACUUCCAGCUAAAUGUUGGAAAGGGGCCGGCCACAUUUAUACCUAUUUUCAAUACUCAAAAUCCUGGCGUUUCGGACUCACUCACUACUCUUUUUGAUACAACACCCCCAAUUCCCAAUAAAGUGUUGACCAAAUCUUUCCG